UCUAGCGACAAUAGCGACAUGGCCCCACCUGAUCCCAUUCCGAACUCAGAAGUGAAACGUGUUAGCGCCGAUGGUAGUGUGGGAGUU
This 87-nucleotide ribosomal RNA is filed under the name Colwellia sp. MB3u-4. Lineage: Bacteria; Pseudomonadati; Pseudomonadota; Gammaproteobacteria; Alteromonadales; Colwelliaceae. The record is from RNAcentral.